UUCCUGAUGUUUAGUCGGAAUCUCCUUUCUUGCAACUUGAAGCCAUUGGUUUGAGUCAUCCAGGGCAGGAUAAAACAAGCCUGCUCCCUCCUUCAUGUGACAGCCCUUGUGAUAUAUGAAGAUGGCUAUCACAUCUCCUCUCAGUCUCCUCUUUUCCAAGCUAAACAUACCUAGCUCCCUCAA
This is a non-coding RNA of Podarcis lilfordi (Lilford's wall lizard), 183 nucleotides long. The record is from the annotation of a GenBank genome assembly. NCBI's taxonomy places the organism in Eukaryota, Metazoa, Chordata, Lepidosauria, Squamata, Lacertidae.